RNAcentral lists this long non-coding RNA (902 nucleotides) under Homo sapiens (human). RNAcentral's name for it is "ADAM7 antisense RNA 2". Lineage: Eukaryota; Metazoa; Chordata; Mammalia; Primates; Hominidae. The record is from RNAcentral.
AUGACAUCAGACUGGGCUUGUGCCUGAUAAUUCAUUUCUGAAGUGCUUCAAGAUUGACGCAUCAGAUUUGCACAAUGUGCCACUUUAGGAGAUUAUUUCUUCCUUCCUUCAGCCAGACAGAAGACUGCAGUAGGGAUAUGGUUCCUGUUUGCCUAUUUCCAUCCACAACUCUGCCAGAGACGAAAGCAGUGUUUGAAACAAUUCACCAAGAUUUCCAUCUGGAAUCAUCAAGAAUGGAAUUGAUCAAAUUCCUUAAGAAAUUUACUUAAAGUCAUGAUUUUGACAGCCUAGUGCUACCUGGAAAAGGGACAGCAGCAGCCUGGAGCAGUUUUCUAGCUAACAAGAAUUUUGUUAGCUAUGUGGCCACCUAGUGGCUCUUCCAUGGAUGUCGCUGAUGCAUUGUCAGGGCAAUAACAGAGAAAUAGAGGCCACCAUCUGUGUGAAUACUUCACUGUGAUUAUCUCUCACCAUCAUCAAAUAGUUCAGAGCACUGAUCCUCACGAGUUGGACAUUUCCCCAUGAAACAGUAGCCUUCUGAGUUCUUGCAAGGAAAUCCAUUGACCCUGAACUGGUCCUUAGGACAGGCAGGCGAGUGGCCAGUGCACAUCUCAGGAAAAUCACAUUCAUCUUUCGCCGGUCUGCAUAUGGACCCUGCUUUUUUUAUCUGUUGAGGAAAAACAAAGAGACUAAAUCCUGGAUACAUUUAGGGUCAUACUGCUUCCCUGUACUGAAGUGUGAUGUGAGACUAUUCAACUGCUGAAGAUCUGAUUUUACCUUUUGCUCAAGCUGUCCAUUAUUUCAGGCUGACUUUUAUUUUUUAAUGUAUCAUUAAAUAACAUCAAAAUGGUAACUUAUGCCCUAUUUUCUCAAACAAAAUAAAAACUCAAAGAAAAUGGAGUGUG